UUAUAACUAGACCAGCAAACGAGAGAGAGGGAGUCUCGAAGCAAUCUUGAGAGAGAUGGGUCACAGAAAACCUUACGAACGCUAAGUUAUUAGUGAUCGUGAAGACUGGAAAAGUUUAAAGUCAAAUGUAGUGGAAGCAAUCCAGAGCCUUGAGUGCGGAGGUUUGUCGUCAUUAGAGCUUUCAAGGAUGAGCACGAUGUGAAGCCGCAAGUGUUAAGGAUGGGUAUCGUGUCAUAAGGCAAAGAUCAAUUGGGCAGCAUGAGAGAAUGUGAAAGCAAGUAGAUUCGAAAAGAAGUCCAACCCCUCAUAUAUAAAAGUGCAAUGGAAAGAGUGCAGAGAGCGCCAACAUCAUGGAGGCAAAAGAACUGAGAGUGAUGGUUUCUCCAAGUGCAGUAACGGUCAAGAAGACUUGGCCUGAAGGCCUGAGGAGUCACUCAGAUAGAAGGUGUCGAUCGAGGGAUCAAGUGCGGAAUUCCCCUAGCAACAAGCGCGCCAUUAGAUUGAGUAGGGGAGAAUGUCGGGGAACCCCCAAGUGCUACAACAAGUCUAGAAUGGUGCACACUCGAUAAAAAUAAGUUCACUCACAAUGAUUUUGCCACUAACCACGCUUUUAUUUCACUUGUUUUGCUUUUAGUCACUCAAUUUUUUAAUAUAUUUAACAAGAGUCUAUAUACAUCAUAUCAAACAAUCUAUUCUCUUUUCUCUCAAGAACAAUUUGAAACAACCAAAUUCUUUCUACUUAACCCUCAACAUCCAUGGCCCAACAUCCAUUUCAUAGUGCAUUUUAAGAUCAAGGACAAAGAUGUUAUAGUAUUCUCAAAUACCAAUCAUGAGAUAACUGUAAUUACAUACUUAUUUUACCUUAUUUAUUAAUAUAAAGCGUUGUCAUUAUAAUUUCAAUUUUUUUCUGUGUAUAUAAAUAAACUGAAUUGUAAUAAAUUCCUAAGAAAUAUGAUUAUUGUUAAAAGGUAUUUUGUCUAGUAUUAUUGAAGGUUUGGACAACAAUAAUGCAUUGAGACUAAUGUGUAGUUGAUUGAUGACAAAUUGUUGUCAUUGACAUAAGAAUGUCAAAAUCAAUACAUGAGUAUGUGUUAGAGAACAACAUAUUUGACUGACCUACUAUGGGUAUGUUUCUUGGAUUAUUAUUGUAACCCC
RNAcentral lists this long non-coding RNA (1155 nucleotides) under Gossypium raimondii (Peruvian cotton). Its description in RNAcentral is "long non-coding RNA (GRAI_LNC004472)". Lineage: Eukaryota; Viridiplantae; Streptophyta; Magnoliopsida; Malvales; Malvaceae. The record is from RNAcentral.